UUUCCGUAGGUGAACCUGCGGAAGGAUCAUUCUCGACGAAUUUGCAGUUUAAUAAGGUACAGCCAAUGAGCUUUGACACCACGAGCACUUUCUUCGUUUCGUGCACUUUUUUAACUAUAUUUUUAUGUUGACCCUAAUUUGAAACUAAAACACCAAGUCCUAAUACCAAAACUCGUGGCGGUGGAUGUCUUGGCUCUGAUAACGAUGAAGAACGCAGCGAAAUGCGAUACGUAAUGCGAAUUGCAGAACCCGUGAAUCAUCGAAUUUUUGAACGCAAGUGGCGCUCGUGGGCAAUCCUGCGAGCAUGUCUGUUUGAGUGUCCGCUAUGGAAAACAAUUUGUUCCCUUUGAACGGCUGGAAACGGUGUGUUUGGGGAGCUGCUGGUGGGCGCACGCAAGUGUUAAAGUCCGGGGGGGGAGGCAAGCCUUUUUUGGGUUUGCGCCAACCGCGGUCGCCUGAAGAGCAGAGUGUCGAGUUGGGGCCCGGGACCACGUGUCGUGCGAGGUCGUUCUCCUUCGGGAGAGUYUGGGAUUCUGAGCUCCGUUGUGAAGUAAGUAAAAUUGCGACAAUGGCGGUGUUUCAGGGUUUUGGGUCUGGAAACAGGCGACGAGGCAUUGAACCUGGAAAGGGCGGCUGGCUUGGUCUUGAAAAGAACACAAAACACAUAGGAUCUCAAAUCAGACAAGACGACCCGCUGAAUUUAAG
This 705-nucleotide ribosomal RNA is filed under the name Salishia sanguinea. RNAcentral's name for it is "eukaryotic LSU rRNA". The stretch from base 170 to 322 matches the Rfam family "5.8S ribosomal RNA". Lineage: Eukaryota; Rhodophyta; Florideophyceae; Gigartinales; Kallymeniaceae. The record is from RNAcentral.